AUUGAACGCUGGCGGCAGGCCUAACACAUGCAAGUCGAGCGGAUGAAGGGAGCUUGCUCCUGGAUUCAGCGGCGGACGGGUGAGUAAUGCCUAGGAAUCUGCCUGGUAGUGGGGGAUAACGUCCGGAAACGGGCGCUAAUACCGCAUACGUCCUGAGGGAGAAAGUGGGGGAUCUUCGGACCUCACGCUAUCAGAUGAGCCUAGGUCGGAUUAGCUAGUUGGUGGGGUAAAGGCCUGCCAAGGCGACGAUCCGUAACUGGUCUGAGAGGAUGAUCAGUCACACUGGAACUGAGACACGGUCCAGACUCCUACGGGAGGCAGCAGUGGGGAAUAUUGGACAAUGGGCGAAAGCCUGAUCCAGCCAUGCCGCGUGUGUGAAGAAGGUCUUCGGAUUGUAAAGCACUUUAAGUUGGGAGGAAGAGCAGUAAGUUAAUACCUUGCUGUUUUGACGUUACCAACAGAAUAAGCACCGGCUAACUUCGUG
Molecule: ribosomal RNA, 484 nt
Filed under: uncultured bacterium
Lineage: Bacteria
Description: partial 16S ribosomal RNA
Rfam family: Bacterial small subunit ribosomal RNA
Source: RNAcentral